This 218-nucleotide unclassified non-coding RNA is filed under the name plant metagenome. RNAcentral's name for it is "partial contains small subunit ribosomal RNA and internal transcribed spacer 1". The stretch from base 1 to 46 matches the Rfam family "Eukaryotic small subunit ribosomal RNA", at positions 1786 to 1831 of the family's 1831-position model. The record is from RNAcentral.
AAGUCGUAACAAGGUCUCCGUAGGUGAACCUGCGGAGGGAUCAUUACCGAGUGAGGGUGCCCCCGGGCGCCGCACCUCCCAACCCUUUGUUUUGACCAACACCUCAGUUGCCUCGGGGGUGACCCGGCCCUCACGGGGUCCGAGGCCCCCGCUGGACCUGACCACCAUCAAUCGACUGCAUCUCUGCGUCGGAGUCAUUGAAGCGAAUUCAAUCAAAA